UACGUAGGGGGCAAGCGUUAUCCGGAUUUACUGGGUGUAAAGGGAGCGUAUACGGUGUGGCAAGUCUGAUGUGAAAGGCAUGGGCUCAACCUGUGGACUGCAUUGGAAACUGUCAUACUUGAGUGCCGGAGGGGUAAGCGGAAUUCCUAGUGUAGCGGUGAAAUGCGUAGAUAUUAGGAGGAACACCAGUGGCGAAGGCGGCUUACUGGACGGUAACUGACGUUGAGGCUCGAAAGCGUGGGGAGCAAACAGG
RNAcentral lists this ribosomal RNA (253 nucleotides) under Blautia wexlerae DSM 19850. RNAcentral's name for it is "partial 16S ribosomal RNA". It matches the Rfam family "Bacterial small subunit ribosomal RNA", at positions 524 to 776 of the family's 1533-position model. The record is from RNAcentral. Lineage: Bacteria; Bacillati; Bacillota; Clostridia; Lachnospirales; Lachnospiraceae.